Molecule: small nucleolar RNA, 89 nt
Organism: Sarcophilus harrisii (Tasmanian devil)
Lineage: Eukaryota; Metazoa; Chordata; Mammalia; Dasyuromorphia; Dasyuridae
Source: Ensembl
CGGAGGACAGAGAAGGUAAGGCAGUUGUGUACCAUGCUGCCUUCUACUGGUUAUUGCCUCCGACAGUAAAAGAAUGCCAGGAACAUUUG